GAAUCCAGGCCCUACGGGGUGCAGCAGGCGCGAAAACUUUACAAUGCUGGCAACAGCGAUAAGGGAACCUCGAGUGCCAGGUUACAAAUCUGGCUGUCGAGAUGCCUAAAAAGCAUUUCAUAGCAAGGGCCGGGCAAGACCGGUGCCAGCCGCCGCGGUAACACCGGCGGCUCGAGUGGUAACCGUUAUUAUUGGGUCUAAAGGGUCUGUAGCCGGCCGGAUAAGUCUCUUGAGAAAUCUGGCAGCUUAACUGUCAGGCUUUCAGGAGAUACUGUCUGGCUCGAGGCCGGGAGAGGUGAGAGGUACUUCAGGGGUAGGGGUGAAAUCUUGUAAUCCUUGAAGGACCACCAGUGGCGAAGGCGUCUCACCAGAACGGACCUGACGGCAAGGGACGAAAGCUAGGGGCACGAACCGGAUUAGAUACCCGGGUAGUCCUAGCCGUAAACGAUACUCGCUAGGUGUCGGCCACGGUGCGACCGUUGUCGGUGCCGUGGGGAAGCCGUGAAGCGAGCCACCUGGGAAGUACGGCCGCAAGGCUGAAACUUAAAGGAAUUGGCGGGGGAGCACCACAACGGGUGGAGCUUGCGGUUUAAUUGGAUU
This 600-nucleotide ribosomal RNA is filed under the name uncultured archaeon. Its description in RNAcentral is "bacterial SSU rRNA". It matches the Rfam family "Archaeal small subunit ribosomal RNA", at positions 312 to 912 of the family's 1478-position model. The record is from RNAcentral.